This 490-nucleotide ribosomal RNA is filed under the name uncultured bacterium. Its description in RNAcentral is "partial 16S ribosomal RNA". It matches the Rfam family "Bacterial small subunit ribosomal RNA", at positions 30 to 507 of the family's 1533-position model. The record is from RNAcentral.
AUUGAACGCUGGCGGCAGGCCUAACACAUGCAAGUCGAACGGUAACAGGAAGAAGCUUGCUUCUUUGCUGACGAGUGGCGGACGGGUGAGUAAUGUCUGGGAAACUGCCUGAUGGAGGGGGAUAACUACUGGAAACGGUAGCUAAUACCGCAUAACGUCGCAAGACCAAAGAGGGGGACCUUCGGGCCUCUUGCCAUCGGAUGUGCCCAGAUGGGAUUAGCUAGUAGGUGGGGUAACGGCUCACCUAGGCGACGAUCCCUAGCUGGUCUGAGAGGAUGACCAGCUACACUGGAACUGAGACACGGUCCAGACUCCUACGGGAGGCAGCAGUGGGGAAUAUUGCACAAUGGGCGCAAGCCUGAUGCAGCCAUGCCGCGUGUAUGAAGAAGGCCUUCGGGUUGUAAAGUACUUUCAGCGGGGAGGAAGGGAGUAAAGUUAAUACCUUUGCUCAUUGACGUUACCCGCAGAAGAAGCACCGGCUAACUCCGUG